CUUCAGUGAUGAUACGAUGACGAGUCGGAACGGGACUUUGGCCGUCUCUCAGGGUUCUGGGUUAGUGGGCACGUUCUGUGCUCCUGACUUUAGGUCCUCAGAGCGCUGUGUCCUUUUCGGUUGAAGACAUCGAGGCAUUUGUCUGAGAAGA
Small nucleolar RNA from Clarias gariepinus (North African catfish), 151 nucleotides. NCBI's taxonomy places the organism in Eukaryota, Metazoa, Chordata, Actinopteri, Siluriformes, Clariidae. The record is from RefSeq and is a predicted model, not a curated record.